CUGCCAUCGGCUCUUACACAUGCAGUCGUACGAUGAAGCCCUUCGGGGUGGAUUAGUGGCGAACGGGUGAGUAACACGUGGGCAAUCUGCCCUUCACUCUGGGACAAGCCCUGGAAACGGGGUCUAAUACCGGAUAACACUCCUGCCUGCAUGGGCGGGGGUUGAAAGCUCCGGCGGUGAAGGAUGAGCCCGCGGCCUAUCAGCUUGUUGGUGGGGUAAUGGCCCACCAAGGCGACGACGGGUAGCCGGCCUGAGAGGGCGACCGGCCACACUGGGACUGAGACACGGCCCAGACUCCUACGGGAGGCAGCAGUGGGGAAUAUUGCACAAUGGGCGAAAGCCUGAUGCAGCGACGCCGCGUGAGGGAUGACGGCCUUCGGGUUGUAAACCUCUUUCAGCAGGGAAGAAGCGAAAGUGACGGUACCUGCAGAAGAAGCGCCGGCUAACUACGUGCCAGCAGCCGCGGUAAUACGUAGGGCGCAAGCGUUGUCCGGAAUUAUUGGGCGUAAAGAGCUCGUAGGCGGCUUGUCACGUCGGAUGUGAAAGCCCGAGGCUUAACCUCGGGUCUGCAUUCGAUACGGGCUAGCUAGAGUGUGGUAGGGGAGAUCGGAAUUCCUGGUGUAGCGGUGAAAUGCGCAGAUAUCAGGAGGAACACCGGUGGCGAAGGCGGAUCUCUGGGCCAUUACUGACGCUGAGGAGCGAAAGCGUGGGGAGCGAACAGGAUUAGAUACCCUGGUAGUCCACGCCGUAAACGUUGGGAACUAGGUGUUGGCGACAUUCCACGUCGUCGGUGCCGCAGCUAACGCAUUAAGUUCCCCGCCUGGGGGAGUACGGGCCGCAAGGGCUAAAACUCAAAGGAAUUUGACGGGGGCCCGCACAAGCGGCGGGAGCAUGUGCUUAAUUUCGACGCAACGCGAAGAACCUUACCAAAGGCUUGACAUAUACCGGAAGCAUUAGAGAUAGUGCCCCCCCUUUGUGGUCGGUAUACAGGUGAGCAUGACUGUCGUCAGCUCGUGUCGUGAGAUGUUUGGGCUAGUCCCGCACGAGCGCAAUCCAUGGUCUGUGCUGGCCAGCAUGGUCCAUCGGGGAUUGAUGCGGACCUCACAUGUAGAAUCGGACGGUGUUCGACUUCCGA
Molecule: ribosomal RNA, 1135 nt
Filed under: Streptomyces avidinii
Lineage: Bacteria; Bacillati; Actinomycetota; Actinomycetes; Kitasatosporales; Streptomycetaceae
Description: bacterial SSU rRNA
Rfam family: Bacterial small subunit ribosomal RNA
Source: RNAcentral